This 568-nucleotide ribosomal RNA is filed under the name Trichoderma asperellum. Its description in RNAcentral is "eukaryotic LSU rRNA". The stretch from base 209 to 362 matches the Rfam family "5.8S ribosomal RNA". The record is from RNAcentral. Lineage: Eukaryota; Fungi; Ascomycota; Sordariomycetes; Hypocreales; Hypocreaceae.
GGACCUGCGGAAAUCGGGAUCAUUACCGAGUUUACAACUCCCAAACCCAAUGUGAACGUUACCAAACUGUUGCCUCGGCGGGGUCACGCCCCGGGUGCGUCGCAGCCCCGGAACCAGGCGCCCGCCGGAGGAACCAACCAAACUCUUUCUGUAGUCCCCUCGCGGACGUAUUUCUUACAGCUCUGAGCAAAAAUUCAAAAUGAAUCAAAACUUUCAACAACGGAUCUCUUGGUUCUGGCAUCGAUGAAGAACGCAGCGAAAUGCGAUAAGUAAUGUGAAUUGCAGAAUUCAGUGAAUCAUCGAAUCUUUGAACGCACAUUGCGCCCGCCAGUAUUCUGGCGGGCAUGCCUGUCCGAGCGUCAUUUCAACCCUCGAACCCCUCCGGGGGAUCGGCGUUGGGGAUCGGGACCCCUCACACGGGUGCCGGCCCCGAAAUACAGUGGCGGUCUCGCCGCAGCCUCUCCUGCGCAGUAGUUUGCACAACUCGCACCGGGAGCGCGGCGCGUCCACGUCCGUAAAACACCCAACUUUCUGAAAUGUUGACCUCGGAUCAGGUAGGAAUACCCGC